CCUACGGGAGGCAGCAGUGAGGAAUUUUCCGCAAUGGGCGAAAGCCUGACGGAGCAAUACCGCGUGAAGGAUUAAGGCCUAUGGGUUGUAAACUUCUUUUUUCAGAGAAGAAUUUUGACGGUAUCUGAAGAAUAAGCAUCGGCUAACUCUGUGCCAGCAGCCGCGGUAAGACAGAGGAUGCAAGCGUUAUCCGGAUUAAUUGGGCGUAAAGCGUCUGUAGGUGGUUUAUCAAGUUUUUUGUCAAAGAUCGGGGCCUAACCCCGGGCAGGCAGAGAAAACUAAUAGACUUGAGUUCGGUAGGGGCAGAGGGAAUUCCCGGUGGAGCGGUGAAAUGCGUAGAGAUCGGGAGGAACACCAAAGGCGAAGGCACUCUGCUGGGCCGCAACUGACACUGAGAGACGAAAGCGAGGGUAGCAAAUGGGAUUAGAUACCCCAGUAGUCCUCGCCGUAAACGAUGGAUACUAGGUGUUGGAUGAGUUCAAUCAUUCAGUACCGUAGCUAACGCGUGAAGUAUCCCGCCUGGGGAGUACGCUCGCAAGAGUGAAACUCAAAGGAAUUGACGG
Molecule: ribosomal RNA, 563 nt
Filed under: uncultured cyanobacterium
Lineage: Bacteria; Bacillati; Cyanobacteriota
Description: bacterial SSU rRNA
Rfam family: Bacterial small subunit ribosomal RNA
Source: RNAcentral